UCUACUUCCGGGUCAGCUUGGCGAAUGUUGACUGUCGUAAGCGGCUAAUUUGAGCGACUACACACGACCUCGGAGGAGGAGAGAAUAAUGGAGGAGGACUUGGAAAACUUCUUGCGAUCAAGAAAUGUCGCUCAGGUGGACAUUACGCGCAUGAAAAGCGACAAGGUUGACAUGGAGAUAAUUUCUCUGAUGACUGAAGAGCAAAUGGGCAAAUAUAUCACUUCCUAUGGUGAUCGAAUAGCGGUCCUUUACUUUUAUCAACAAAAAAUGUCCAGGGGUGAUAAUGAAAUGCUCCUCCAAAGAUUGAGAGACAAAAUAAGAUCGAGGAAAAAAAGGUGUACUGGGUGGAUCUCCAAGUGUGCUCCAAAACCUUGAUGAGAGAAUGACAAGAUUUAAAAAUUUUAUUGGCUCUGUUGUUCAUUUGCACUUUUGAGAUGUAAAACAUCUGGCAUAGUUAACCACGUGAAGGGCAGUCUGCAAUUGUUUUCCAUUUGUGUAUUGUGCAUUAUUAAAAUGCAAUCGAUUCUGUGGUAGUUCUCCAUUCCUUCCAUUUUCUGCACCACUUAUUCUCAUGAUGGUUUCAGGCAAGAUGGGAGUUUUCAGUUUUACCCAAAGGUCUGAAGUUGUACAUUCCAUUUAAAAUGUUGAGAUUAAUGUUUGUAAGAUUUUGUCAAUGUGAAUAAAAUUUGUUCCAAAUCA
This is a long non-coding RNA of Hippocampus zosterae (dwarf seahorse), 699 nucleotides long. RefSeq lists it as uncharacterized. The transcript is spliced from 2 exons. NCBI's taxonomy places the organism in Eukaryota, Metazoa, Chordata, Actinopteri, Syngnathiformes, Syngnathidae. The record is from RefSeq and is a predicted model, not a curated record.